This 21-nucleotide unclassified non-coding RNA is filed under the name Dictyostelium discoideum. The record is from RNAcentral. Lineage: Eukaryota; Evosea; Eumycetozoa; Dictyosteliales; Dictyosteliaceae.
CAUCAAUGGUCAAACAAGGUU